GAUGAACGCUGGCGGCGUGCCUAAUACAUGCAAGUCGAGCGAACGGACGAGAAGCUUGCUUCUCUGAUGUUAGCGGCGGACGGGUGAGUAACACGUGGAUAACCUACCUAUAAGACUGGGAUAACUUCGGGAAAUCGGAGCUAAUACCGGAUAAUAUUUUGAACCGCAUGGUUCAAAAGUGAAAGACGGUCUUGCUGUCACUUAUAGAUGGAUCCGCGCUGCAUUAGCUGGUUGGUAAGGUAACGGCUUACCAAGGCAACGAUGCAUAGCCGACCUGAGAGGGUGAACGGCCACACUGGAACUGAGACACGGUCACGACUCCUACGGGAGGCAGCAGUAGGGAAUCUUCCGCGAUGGGCGAAAGCCUGACGGAGCAACGCCGCGUGAGUGAUGAAGGUCUUCGGAUCGUAAAACUCUGUUAUUAGGGAAGAACAUAUGUGUAAGUAACUGUGCACAUCAUGACGGUACCUAAUCAGAAAGCCACGGCUAACUACGUG
Molecule: ribosomal RNA, 497 nt
Filed under: uncultured bacterium
Lineage: Bacteria
Description: partial 16S ribosomal RNA
Rfam family: Bacterial small subunit ribosomal RNA
Source: RNAcentral